RNAcentral lists this long non-coding RNA (139 nucleotides) under Fukomys damarensis (Damara mole-rat). RNAcentral's name for it is "lncRNA (ENSFDAG00000031677.1)". The record is from RNAcentral. Lineage: Eukaryota; Metazoa; Chordata; Mammalia; Rodentia; Bathyergidae.
CUCAGAGCUGCUGCGGGACGCGGCGGGGACGGUGAGAUGAGUGUUUCGAGUCAAGGAGGAUUUUGAGGAAGAUUAAUGAUGAUGUACCCCUUACUAGUGCUGCUCUUCAAACCUUUGUCACCUGGGCCAAUCCAUGAAC